AUGGAGGACGAAUUGCUCGCCUUCUUCCCUAGUGGCAUCCGGGCCUUGCUUGUUGAUGAUAAUACAACGUUUGUAAACUCGGCUCGCACCAUGCUUAAUCUGUUGCGCUUCAAAGUGGCUACAUGCAAGACACCAACCGCAGCCCUGCGGUUUCUCUCAAAAAAUCAAAACGAUAUCAUCGAUGUCGUCCUCAUUGAUGGUCACAGGGUAUCAACAUGCGGUUUUGACCUACGCGCUAUAGUCGAGCGGGACCUCCACAUCCCAGUCAUCUAUUACAUGUCACUGGAAGACCCAAUUCCCACCAGCGGGGAUGAUACCCUUUCCCGGAUGGUGCAAGCAGCAACAUACAUCAUCAACAAGCCGCUCGACGCAUCCGAGCUGGGUAGCCCGUGGAGGGCUAUUGCCUACCGUAGAUUGGCUUGGAACGCGAGGAAAGUUAAUGGCCACAACGGUCAUGGCAAAGGCAAACCUGUAUCUCACUCAUUGGUUGGAGACAAAGGUCGUAGCCUCUCGUCAUUUCCACCAGGUUCAUCUGCUGAUGAUGGGGACGACGACAAUGAGAUAGAGCCUCGUGCUCACUUCAAGCUGGUUCGGGUUCACACCGAAACUAAGAACAGACCCAUGAUCCCCAUGGAGAAGGUUCCUCUAAAACCCACAAACACCACAUCGUGUGGUCACCGCUCCUCAAGGAAAGGUUCAAGUGUGCCGUGGAAGACAUGGGCAUCGGACACCCAAGCAAGAUACUGGAGCACAUGA
RNAcentral lists this ribosomal RNA (756 nucleotides) under Triticum aestivum (bread wheat). RNAcentral describes it as "partial small subunit ribosomal RNA". Lineage: Eukaryota; Viridiplantae; Streptophyta; Magnoliopsida; Poales; Poaceae. The record is from RNAcentral.